RNAcentral lists this ribosomal RNA (377 nucleotides) under uncultured bacterium. Its description in RNAcentral is "bacterial SSU rRNA". It matches the Rfam family "Bacterial small subunit ribosomal RNA", at positions 524 to 898 of the family's 1533-position model. The record is from RNAcentral.
UACGUAGGGUGCGAGCGUUGUCCGGAUUUAUUGGGCGUAAAGAGCUCGUAGGUGGUUGAUCGCGUCGGAAGUGAAAACCUGGGGCUUAACCCUGGGCGUGCUUUCGAUACGGGUUGACUUGAGGAAGGUAGGGGAGAAUGGAAUUCCUGGUGGAGCGGUGGAAUGCGCAGAUAUCAGGAGGAACACCAGUGGCGAAGGCGGUUCUCUGGACCUUUCCUGACGCUGAGGAGCGAAAGCGUGGGGAGCAAACAGGCUUAGAUACCCUGGUAGUCCACGCUGUAAACGGUGGGUACUAGGUGUGGGGUCCAUUCCACGGAUUCCGUGCCGUAGCCAACGCAUUAAGUACCCCGCCUGGGGAGUACGGCCGCAAGGCUAAA